UUAUUUUUUGUAAAAAGAGUAGACAACUCAUAAUUUUUAAUUUCUAAUUCAUAUAUUAUUUAAAUUAAAUUUCACUUCAUUCACCUAAUUGAUUUUAUGUAUACUAAUCUAAAUCUUUUUUUAUUUCCCAACAUAAUAUCAUUAUUUGGUUCGAUAAUUGAUUUUUUAUUUUUUAAAAGCGUCCAUGAAUGCAUGUAUAAAUAAAUAAAUUUUUAUUUUUUACAAAAACAACAUAAACCAAUACUUCAUUCAUCAAAUUGUCGAAAAGGGUUUGGUAUUUUAUGUAAUAAUCCUAAAAAACUUGAUAUGAACAUGUGAAGGAAAAAAAAAAAAGGGGGUUAGUGAAGAGGACAACCAUGAUUUUUCUUUGCUAUACAAGGAUAAAAAGAUUAAAAACUUGUAUGUAAGGCUAUUCUUUGUUCUGAUAAAAUCUUCCAAGGUUGAGAUUGAACUCUUCAAUUAAAUUCUCUCAACACACAGCCCCAAAUCAUAUAGCAAAUUCGAAAGCCACAAUUCAUCCUCGACAUGGAAAUUGAAGCUUCUUAAUAUUUGGUUUGUCAUGGCCCGAUAAGGCAGAACAUGAUUAAGUACUCCAGUUGUAUGAUCGUCCAUUGACUCGUUGUCAUCAAAAGAUACGUAUGCUUGUGCUUUGAAAUCCAUAAAUCUUUCCACUUCCUUGAUGAAAUUUGUACUGCAUAUUUUGUUAUGGGAAAGUUGAGAAUGUUUUCACAAAGUGGAUAUGCAGAUUGUUUAUUAACCAGUUUUCCCUUUCAUCCGAUGUGAAAUAAGCAAACUUACUAUAAGUUCUUACAGUAAAAAAAACAAAGGGAAAAAAUAUGAAAUAAACUAAAACAUUAACAAAAAAUGUUGGAUUGCUACAACAAAAUGGAAGAGCCAAUAUUUACCUUCCAAGAGAAGUAGGUGCAUAUAUUUCCUAUCUUCUUGAAUUGCCAUGAACAACAAUUAAAUGCAACAAUGAGCAGACAAGAAUUGUAAUCCACAACCAUUUUAAGAUCGCUAAGAGAAACACUUUGAACUCUAGCGUCUUCUCAU
RNAcentral lists this long non-coding RNA (1053 nucleotides) under Durio zibethinus. RNAcentral's name for it is "long non-coding RNA (DZIB_LNC001322)". Lineage: Eukaryota; Viridiplantae; Streptophyta; Magnoliopsida; Malvales; Malvaceae. The record is from RNAcentral.